CACAACCGGCUAGUACCAAGCUGGUCGGAUUUGAAAGAUUAUCACCGAUUUAUAGAAAUGACAUAGAGUCCUUACAGAUACAUUUGUGCUUUUGUCGCUCUUCUAAUCUGCGUUUUGUGGAGGAGAAGCGGCGAGAUCUGGGAGCACAUUUUGUUUCCUCAGUGAUUAAUAACUACCUCCGCCAGCAGAAGGAAACGGCGAGGAGUUUCCAACAGCAGUCCAAUCAGCUGGCUUCUGCUCACCGCCACAGACAAUGUGAAGAGAAUCUCUGACGGACUGGUUGUCUGCCCUCGCUCUGCUCCAUACACACAGCCAAUAGGCUGCCAUUGCAG
This is a long non-coding RNA of Oncorhynchus tshawytscha (Chinook salmon), 332 nucleotides long. Lineage: Eukaryota; Metazoa; Chordata; Actinopteri; Salmoniformes; Salmonidae. The record is from Ensembl.